Molecule: ribosomal RNA, 307 nt
Filed under: uncultured bacterium
Lineage: Bacteria
Description: partial 16S ribosomal RNA
Rfam family: Bacterial small subunit ribosomal RNA
Source: RNAcentral
AGACAGCAGUAGCCGCGGGAAUACGUAGGUGGCAAGCGUUGUCCGGAAUUAUUGGGCGUAAAGGGCUCGCAGGCGGUUUCUUAAGUCUGAUGUGAAAGCCCCCGGCUCAACCGGGGAGGGUCAUUGGAAACUGGGAAACUUGAGUGCAGAAGAGGAGAGUGGAAUUCCACGUGUAGCGGUGAAAUGCGUAGAGAUGUGGAGGAACACCAGUGGCGAAGGCGACUCUCUGGUCUGUAACUGACGCUGGGGAGCGAAAGCGUGGGGAGCGAACAGGAUUAGAUACCCGUGUAGUCCCUGUCUCUUAUUC